AAUGAACGCUGGCGGCGCGCCUAAUACAUGCAAGUCGAGCGAGAAGACGUAGCAAUACGUUUGUAAAGCGGCGAACGGGUGAGGAAUACAUGGGUAACCUACCCUAGAGUGGGGAAUAACUAGCCGAAAGGUUAGCUAAUACCGCGUACGCUCCUUGGACUUCGGUUCAGGGAGGAAAGCGAUGCCGAGGGUAUCGCGCUCUUGGAUGGGCUCAUGUCCUAUCAGCUUGUUGGGAGGUAACGGCUCACCAAGGCUUCGACGGGUAGCUGGUCUGAGAGGACGAUCAGCCACACUGGCACUGCGACACGGGCCAGACUCCUACGGGAGGCAGCAGUAAGGAAUAUUGCGCAACGGGCGAAAGCCUGACGCAGCGACGCCGCGUGGGGGAGUGAAGGUCUUCGGAUUG
This 406-nucleotide ribosomal RNA is filed under the name uncultured bacterium. RNAcentral's name for it is "bacterial SSU rRNA". It matches the Rfam family "Bacterial small subunit ribosomal RNA", at positions 29 to 425 of the family's 1533-position model. The record is from RNAcentral.